GACGGAGGGGGCUAGCGUUGUUCGGAAUGACUGGGCGUAAAGGGCGCGUAGGCGGUUUUUUAAGUGAGGCGUGAAAGCCCUGGGCUUAACCCAGGAGGUGCGUUUCAUACUGGAAAGCUUGAGUACGAGAGAGGAAAGCGGAAUUCCUAGUGUAGAGGUGAAAUUCGUAGAUAUUAGGAAGAACACCAGUGGCGAAGGCGGCUUUCUGGCUCGUAACUGACGCUGAGGCGCGAAAGCGUGGGGAGCAAACAGG
This 253-nucleotide ribosomal RNA is filed under the name uncultured bacterium. Its description in RNAcentral is "partial 16S ribosomal RNA". It matches the Rfam family "Bacterial small subunit ribosomal RNA", at positions 524 to 776 of the family's 1533-position model. The record is from RNAcentral.